Molecule: non-coding RNA, 241 nt
Filed under: Pongo abelii (Sumatran orangutan)
Lineage: Eukaryota; Metazoa; Chordata; Mammalia; Primates; Hominidae
Source: RNAcentral
AAAUAAGGAGAGUCAGCAAUUACCAGCCAGCCGAGGUCCUGGAAGCUGACGUAGAGCUCGUGCCGACGGCAGACCUGCCGGCCGUGGGAGCCGUGGACGUCAUCUGCAGGGACAGAAGGGGCAAGGUCUUUUCUGGGGUUCCUGCUGUGUGCAGCUACUAUGUGUGCAGCUACUAUGGGGUACCAGGGUGGGGGAUGCCCUGAUGAGCACAUUUGUCAAAUAAAUGAAUGACAGGAAACCA